RNAcentral lists this long non-coding RNA (383 nucleotides) under Felis catus (domestic cat). RNAcentral's name for it is "lncRNA (ENSFCAG00000053287.1)". The record is from RNAcentral. Lineage: Eukaryota; Metazoa; Chordata; Mammalia; Carnivora; Felidae.
AGAGAUUAGAAUGUGAAAGAUCCCCAACACAAAAUGAGUCUGUACCUACCACACAACUCUUUCCUAUAGGCCUUCCUCAAAUGCCUUGCGGUAAUUCUCUGAAGACUAUGGUUAAGGCAGUAGAGCUGAAGUAGAUCCUUCCAAGAUUCCUGACCUUCACCAAGCACACCACAGGAAUUUCCAAAGCCUGAGGAUGGAGCAUGAGAACUAAGGACCAUCAUCAAGCACGAAGCAACAGUUGCCAAAGUUUGGAGAAUCUGUCAAGGGUGGAGAGAAGCUAUACCAAAGGACCUCACGUCCAAGCUCAUCUCUGGUGGGAGAAGAUCAGGGAUGAGGGCAAGCCUUUCACACUGUGUACAUUUCCCACCACUUGGAUUUUCUGA